RNAcentral lists this ribosomal RNA (467 nucleotides) under uncultured bacterium. Its description in RNAcentral is "partial 16S ribosomal RNA". It matches the Rfam family "Bacterial small subunit ribosomal RNA", at positions 28 to 506 of the family's 1533-position model. The record is from RNAcentral.
GACGAACGCUGGCGGCGUGCUUAACACAUGCAAGUCGAACGGAAAGGCCCUGCUUUUGUGGGGUGCUCGAGUGGCGAACGGGUGAGUAACACGUGAGUAACCUGCCCUUGACUUUGGGAUAACUUCAGGAAACUGGGGCUAAUACCGGAUAGGAGCUCCUGCUGCAUGGUGGGGGUUGGAAAGUUUCGGCGGUUGGGGAUGGACUCGCGGCUUAUCAGCUUGUUGGUGGGGUAGUGGCUUACCAAGGCUUUGACGGGUAGCCGGCCUGAGAGGGUGACCGGCCACAUUGGGACUGGGAUGCGGCCCGACCCCCUCCGGGGGGCCGCGGUGGGGAAUGUUCCCCAAGGGGGGGAGCCCUUCUGCCACACCCCCUCGGGCGGGAUGACGGCCUUCGGGUUGUAAACCGCUUUCCCCUGUGACGAGGGGUGGGUGACGGUAAUGGGUAAAGAAGCCCCCGCUAACUACGU